GCGGGUGUGGCGGAAUUGGUAGACGCGCGGGUCUCAAAAACCCGUUCCCUUGGGAGUGCCGGUUCGAUCCCGGCCACCCGCACCA
This 85-nucleotide transfer RNA is filed under the name Acidobacteriota bacterium. RNAcentral's name for it is "Acidobacteria bacterium (activated sludge metagenome) tRNA-Leu". It matches the Rfam family "tRNA". Rfam says of the family: Transfer RNA (tRNA) molecules are approximately 80 nucleotides in length. Their secondary structure includes four short double-helical elements and three loops (D, anti-codon, and T loops). Further hydrogen bonds mediate the characteristic L-shaped molecular structure. tRNAs have two regions of fundamental functional importance: the anti-codon, which is responsible for specific mRNA codon recognition, and the 3' end, to which the tRNAs corresponding amino acid is attached (by aminoacyl-tRNA synthetases). tRNAs cope with the degeneracy of the genetic code in two manners: having more than one tRNA (with a specific anti-codon) for a particular amino acid; and 'wobble' base-pairing, i.e. permitting non-standard base-pairing at the 3rd anti-codon position. The record is from RNAcentral. Lineage: Bacteria; Pseudomonadati; Acidobacteriota.